This 305-nucleotide ribosomal RNA is filed under the name uncultured bacterium. RNAcentral's name for it is "bacterial SSU rRNA". It matches the Rfam family "Bacterial small subunit ribosomal RNA", at positions 30 to 334 of the family's 1533-position model. The record is from RNAcentral.
AUUGAACGCUGGCGGCAGGCUUAACACAUGCAAGUCGAGCGGAAACGAUGGGAGCUUGCUCCCAGGCGUCGAGCGGCGGACGGGUGAGUAAUACUUAGGAAUCUGCCUAGUAGUGGGGGAUAGCUCGGGGAAACUCGAAUUAAUACCGCAUACGACCUACGGGUGAAAGGGGGCACUUUGUGCUCUCGCUAUUAGAUGAGCCUAAGUCGGAUUAGCUAGUUGGUGGGGUAAAGGCCUACCAAGGCGACGAUCUGUAGCUGGUCUGAGAGGAUGAUCAGCCACACCGGGACUGAGACACGGCCCGG